RNAcentral lists this ribosomal RNA (203 nucleotides) under uncultured bacterium. RNAcentral describes it as "partial 16S ribosomal RNA". It matches the Rfam family "Bacterial small subunit ribosomal RNA", at positions 1297 to 1500 of the family's 1533-position model. The record is from RNAcentral.
AUUGAAGGCUGAAAUUCGCCUUCAUGAAGCCGGAAUUGCUAGUAAUGGCAGGUCAGCAUACUGCCGUGAAUACGUUCCCGGGCCUUGUACACACCGCCCGUCACACCAUGAGAGUUGGGAAUACCCGAAGCCUGUGAGCUAACUUUUAGAGGCAGCAGUCGAAGGUAGAAUCAAUGAUUGGGGUGAAGUCGUAACAAGGUACC